This 268-nucleotide ribosomal RNA is filed under the name unidentified gamma proteobacterium groupD. RNAcentral's name for it is "partial 16S small subunit ribosomal RNA". It matches the Rfam family "Bacterial small subunit ribosomal RNA", at positions 1106 to 1373 of the family's 1533-position model. The record is from RNAcentral. Lineage: Bacteria; Pseudomonadati; Pseudomonadota; Gammaproteobacteria.
UAUCCUUAUUUGCCAGUGUGUUAUGGCGGGAACUCUAAGGAGACUGCCGGUGAUAAACCGGAGGAAGGUGGGGACGACGUCAAGUCAUCAUGGCCCUUACGGGAUGGGCUACACACGUGCUACAAUGGCAGGUACAGAGGGCAGCAAUACCGCGAGGUGGAGCGAAUCCCACAAAGCUUGUCGUAGUCCGGAUUGGAGUCUGCAACUCGACUCCAUGAAGACGGAAUCGCUAGUAAUCGUAGAUCAGAAUGCUACGGUGAAUACGUUC